Molecule: ribosomal RNA, 253 nt
Filed under: uncultured bacterium
Lineage: Bacteria
Description: partial 16S ribosomal RNA
Rfam family: Bacterial small subunit ribosomal RNA
Source: RNAcentral
UACAGAGGGGGCGAGCGGUGUUCGGAAUUACUGGGCGUAAAGGGCGCGUAGGCGGCCCGCUAAGUCGAACGUGAAAUCCCCAGGCUCAACCUGGGAACUGCGUCCGAUACUGGCAGGCUUGAAUCCGGGAGAGGGAUGUGGAAUUCCAGGUGUAGCGGUGAAAUGCGUAGAUAUCUGGAGGAAUACCGGUGGCGAAGGCGGCAUCCUGGACCGACAUUGACGCUGAGGAGCGAAAGCUAGGGGAGCAAACAGG